This is a long non-coding RNA of Helianthus annuus (common sunflower), 789 nucleotides long. RefSeq lists it as uncharacterized. Lineage: Eukaryota; Viridiplantae; Streptophyta; Magnoliopsida; Asterales; Asteraceae. The transcript has 3 exons. The record is from RefSeq and is a predicted model, not a curated record.
AAAAUAUUACCCAAAAGUUGUUUAGACCACUGUUUUCUCCAAGCCCAAAACUGGCCAAACCUCAAGGACAAAAAUGACAUUUUACUCUUCUAGAAUUUUUGUAACCUUUGAAGUUUAUAUGCACAUUUUUUUAAAAAUUUUUUGUUUGAUGAAUUUUUCUUAUUCAUCAACGUCUUUACUAUGUAGAUAAAUGGGUCUGAAGUGGCAUUGCUCUCCUUAAUUAAAAGUGACGAUGAUCUCAGGGUUACAGAAUAUUUUCUAUCACUUCAUGAUAAAGUUCUUGCGGCCGCAGUAGAAGCUGUGAUUGGCAGUUCUCAUAAUCAAAAGAAAAAACAGGGUAUCCCCGGUGCGCUUGUGAAUAUUCUUAAAGGAUUUAAAGGAGGAAAACCUAAUAAGAACAUCAACGUUUCUGAAGAUUUUAAAUAUGGUUUUAGCAAUCUGGAUGGAAUCUUUUCAAAGAAUCCAUUUCCCGAUCCACUUGAAAGUUUCUGAUGAUUUUAAAUAUGGUUUUAGCAAUUUGGAUGGAAGACAUGUGAUGUUAUUCCUUUUUACACUGGAUUUUAUGAUCUUUUCUAUUUGCUUCAUUUUUUUGUUCUUAUUUUGGAUGAAAUUACAUGUGGAUAUUGCAUUAUCUCUUCAUGUUAUACAGGUUUAAGAGAAGAAAAUUAAGAAAAUUGCAAGCAUGAACAUGGACCCUUCAAAAGUUGCUGGAAAGAACAAUAUUGCCUGUUCAAGUGAUUCUUCAAUUAUUAAUUCUUAUCUUGUAAACGAGGGAUGCAAAGAUAAAUA